GAUAUAGACACGUUUUAUAGUAACACCAUAUUGUGUAUUAAGAAAUGUAGAGAAGAUUUAUAGAUACAUCAAUUUUCUUGUGUACUAAUAUAUAAUGAUUCUUUUAUUUGCAUUUAUAAAUCUAAUAUAUCAUUUUAUUUUCUAAUAGGUUAAUAAUGCCUAAAUAAAUUAUCCAUGAUAUUGCAUUGGCAAUCAAUUCUUUGGUUCACCAAAAAGAAACUGACUACUUCAUUCAAGAACCAACAUGUCUAUUGAUUAAAGUACUAUCAACAAGACAAUUGCCUUGAUAAAGAAACACAGACAAAGUGACAAUAUCAUACAACUAUUUCUAAUUUUUUCACUAACAACUAAACCUAUGCUCCAUUGCCCGUUCUUGCCCCU
RNAcentral lists this long non-coding RNA (381 nucleotides) under Setaria viridis. RNAcentral describes it as "long non-coding RNA (SVIR_LNC010464)". Lineage: Eukaryota; Viridiplantae; Streptophyta; Magnoliopsida; Poales; Poaceae. The record is from RNAcentral.